GGAGCUACUUUGUUCAAGUGGCCCUUUCAUGACAAGGCAGCGUGGCUUUUGCAGAGACACUGACGUAUGCCCAGGCUUUCAGAGGCUAUUUUGGGAUGAAUGGACUGCUGGGCUGGCUUUUGUGGGUUCUUGUUAAGUGAAAUGAAUCUGGAGGCCUUGAUACUGGGCUUUGUCUACACGGCCAGACACAAAGCAAGGAGUUGCUGGGAAGAUCAGGGGCAGGAGCUGGGUUUAAAAGGACUGAGCUCAUUAGCCCUGCACCUCCCAGGAAGGUUGGGAAUGAGGGCUCUGCCUGUAAAGAGACCUCAGGGAGAUAUUAGCCCAGAGAAAAUUUAGGCCCUUGUGGACAUUGUGAAGGAGGAGGUUGCUGGAGAAGAGAUUUAAUGUGCUGAAUGGUGCCUGAAGCUCACAGACAGACAAUGCCUGGUCCCUCAGGGCUCCUGGCUGCCUCUUGAACCCCCAGCCUUCUGAGCACGGCAUCCAUCAGGUACACCCGCAGCGGGGUCCAGCCAGGGGAGGGCCUCGUCCUGGCAAGGGGGCCAGUGCACCCAGCUUGGCCCAGGGACAGAGGACCCAGAGCUCAUAAAGGGCGAUCAUAGUUUGAAUAACAUAGAGUGGGGCCGGAGGAUGCAAGGAUAAACCAGUAAUAAAUACCUGAGACACGUUUUCCUGCUCUUGAGUCCAGUCUAUAGACAGAUGUGGACACAUAAGUUGUGAGAAUACUGUUAAUAUAUUAUAAAGAAUUAUAAUAACAGAAAGAACGUGAUGCUCUGACAGUAGCUGUUGAUUGAGGAAUGAUCUAGAAGGUCUUAACAGAAGAAGGAACUCCUGAGCUGGUUUUUUGAGGACACAUGGGAGGUAGCAAGGAAGGGGGAGGGGAAGAGAUGGCUGCCAAAAGGGACAGCCUGCACAAAAUCUCCAAGGCACGAAGGAGCAAGGCCAUAGCAAGAAGCAGGGGUGUGGGAAGUGGUGACCUUCUUUGCUGGCUCCGUUCUUCCUCCAAGAAGGAAGGGCAGCAGCCAACCGGCAGCCUUUGAAUAAUGCUCCCCAGUCUGCAUAGCUUUUCACAUCCAGGAUUCUCCUUUGAUUCCCAAACCAACCCUGUGGCUAUUAGCCCCAUUCUACAGAUGAAUUAUGAGCUUGGGGUUAUACACCACAUUAGCUGCGGUGCUAAUGAGAAGGGAGGAGGGGAGGGAGCUGCCAAAAAUCUAUAUACAGUCAUCCCUCGGUAUCCCCAGGGGAUGGUUGCAGGACCCUCAAGGGUACCAAAGUCUGUGGAUGCUCAAGUCUCUAAUGUAAAAUCAUGUAGUGUUUGCAUAUAACUUAGCACAUCCUUCCGGAUACUUUAAAUCAUCUCUAGAUUACUUAUGAUACUAAUACAAUGUAAAUAUAUAUAUAAAUAGUUACCAACACAUGGCCAAUUCAGGUUUUGUUUCUUGGAACUUUCUGGAGUUCUUUUUCCACGUAUUUUCAAUCCACAGUGGGUUCCAUGCCCAGAUGCGGAGCCCAUGGAUGUGAAGAGCUGCAUGUGGUCUUCUCCCCUAGGGCUGGCAGGAACAUGAAGGCAAGGGAAGGAGAGGAGAAGGAGGGAGUCAGCCAAGGUGUCCUUUCCGUUGAUCCUAACAGGAAAUGACCUCCCCCUCAUUCCAGAUAAAUGGCUCCAAAUUUUCAUCAAGUAAAAUUUAUGGAUGAUUUCUCUUAGAUACUAGAAACGGUAGGUAGAAAGGGAUAUUAACCAGUCCCUGCACCUGUGCUCCUGCUUGUAGCCACCUGGAAAGUGCUGGGAGCCCCAUGGAGAAGCAGUCACUCUCAGAGCAGCUAUUGUCCCUGUUAGGGCCACCCUGAUUGCAAUUCAUGGUAAUGCAGUUCUUCCUAUCAUUCAAGUUCAAAACCUUGAAGUCAAACCUGACCGCUUCUUUCCUCCUGCAUCCUCUAAGUCACAACAGCGAAUUGUUAAUACCUCUCCCCUCCCCCAACCACUCCUUUCCAUUGACACAAUGCACUGAUCUAAAUCACCCCCAGGCAUCUCUGCUUCCCCUUCUGCCCCUUUUCUCCCAUUGCCAUCCACCCGUGUGACCCCAGGAGGUCACAUGAUCUAAGGCAAAGCUUCAGCCCCUCGGUUCCCCCAUUCGAAACCAUUCUAGCAUCACACCUGCUCAACAGAUGUUUGGUGAAUGAAAUAAUCUUUUUUUUCCAUUUUGAAAUAAUUGUAUUUUAUUUUUCAUCAAUUAAUAUUUAUGUAUUACUAUCAAUAGAAGUAACAAUCAAAAAGUAAUCAUGAAACAAAUAAUAUUUACUAUAUAAUAGGCACUGGGUUAGUUUCUAGAGUUAGAGAUGAAGUACCACAGUUCCUUGGCCCUUAAAUGCAUGUUUUCCCCCAAAUUUUAAUAUUUCUGGAAUUAGAAUUUAUCUUAACACAGGUUUGACCCCUUGUCUCACUCCGUGGGUUAAAGAUCCAGCAUUGCUGUUGCUGUGGCACAGGCUGGCAGCUGCAGCUCUGAUUCAACCCCUAGCCUGGGAACUUCCCUAUGCCACAGGUACAGCCCUAAAAAGAAAAAAAGAAAAAAGAAAUAAAUAAAAAUACGAAAUAAAUUUCACAUUUCUUUUUACCUAUUUAAUGUGGCUGCUGAGACAUUUAAAAUCGCACAUGUGAGUGUUAUUUUUCUAUGGGACACUGCUGCCCUAGAGAACACGAGAAGCGUGUUGUGUUUUGUCUUUUUUAGCACCUUGUGGGAACACUGUCAGUAUUUGUCUGAUGAAUGGUGAUGUGCGUAAACACUUCCUUUUAUCCACUCAGCCGUCCUGGGGGAGGCUGGGUGAUGACAUUGGAUGUGUGAGGAUGAGCUGCAGGGAGGGGCUCUGGCUUUGCCAUAAUGGCCUCCCCGUGAGGUUCCCCUGGCCCAGUCUGCCUGUGGCUAAUGGGUCACUGGUGGCACCCCGCACCACCCCAGCACCUCUAAGCCUUCAGGAGACACUUGGGGUGCUGGCCUCACUCCUCCUUUCACCCAUCCUGUUUCUAUUCCAGCACCUCUCCCAGGAACGAGGAAGGGAAUCAUUUAUUGGGAGCAAGGGGAGGUGAAGUAAGCUGUGAUUUUUGUCCACAAAGGUGAAACUUACUGGUGAGCAACCUGUAGACUCCUACCUGUGCAGCAUCCUAGGACCGGAGCGCCGUCACACCCCCUUCUGGGGAGCAAGGGCCUGUGAAGCCCUUUGCAUCCUGGCAUUGAAGAGGCAGCGACGUGGGUGGGAAACCUGGAGCCUUUCCCACUGGGCUCCCUGCUGGAGGCCACCUGUCUUCUCUGGGACUUGAUGCCAGAGCAGGGAGAGGAGCCAACAGCAGUUGGAAUCGCCCAGACCGCUGGAUGGGACACUGGGCAGCACUUCCCAGGCUGGCAGAGCUGCUGCCUAAGCCAGUGCCUUAAAGCCACCAACAGUCCAAACCCCUCCCUGCUUCAUUUGGGUUCCUUCCUCCCCACGCAACAGAAUCUUGGCUUUGGGGCCCAAGACACACUAAAGUGACAUACCUGAACAGACGCUCUCAUGACCUGCCAUCUUCAGGACACCAAGGCCCAUGUCUCCACCAGGGAGUGUCACCACCAGCCUCCCAUCAUCUUCCCAGGGCUGACCCACCAAGACAAGCCCACAGAGUCAAACACCCAAAGUGAGACCUCAUGUGGCCCUGCCUCCUUUUGACUCCAUAAUGGCAUUUGAAGGGAUUAUAUGACUUUUUAAAAUAGAGUCUUAGCAGGCCUAGGAGAGGGAUUUGUCUCUCCUGAGUGUCUUUUCUUCGGGAUAUGUGUCAGAAGGAUUCUUAAAUCUUCAAAAAACCCUCAUCUCUCUGUGAGGCUGAGAAUGCGGUAGCAGUAAGGCACAGUGAAAAACCUGCUGAUAGACAGAUGGAAUGGUGUAAUUAUACGCAGGAGGGAGAGAGGGAGCGUUUGCUGAAAUUAUUAGUGUGGGCAGACAAUUAGAGGCUUUUCCAGAAGAUUACACUUUUCCCUCCCAUCUGCGCUCCAUUUAGGAGUUUUUACAUUCACAGUGCUAUUUCCUCCUCAGCUGUGCCAUUUGCCAUUUUGCCCAAAUUAUUAUUGUGCCUGACUUUGCGUUUGCUCCGACUUCACCAGCGUUCCCGUCUUCUCCUCCUGGCGCUGGCCCUCUCCCUCCUCAUCACUCCAGUCUCUUCCUCCUUCCCUCUCCCUUCCUCCCGCUUCCCUCGUCCCCCAGCAGAGAGCUGCAAAGGCCUAUCAAGAGUGCGGCGGAUUCUUCCUGGGUCGAGCAGGAUGCUGUCUAAUAUGAAAUGCUAGGAAGGUGAUCAACGCGAUCUGCAGCCCUGCUUCCUGCCCCAGGACCCACUCUGAUGCCGUGGGAGAAGCUCAGCCCCCAGGGAAUCGGGGCUGGAUGAAUUCAUGGAUGAAUCUGUGGUUUGGAGCAGGAGGAAGGAGCCCGUGUUCUCUUUCCACGCAGUUUCACCUGAGCUCGGUCAUGGUCAUGGGUCCCAAUCCGACUCCUGAGGAUCCAGAAGCUCUAGAUCCCAGGGCCUCAUUCACACUCUGUCAUUCAUUCAUUUGUUCAUUCAUCCAACAGAGUGCUCGAGCAGCUAUUGUAUCCCAGCCACAGGUCUUAACACUGCAAGGGUGAGAGAGCCAAGUUCAUUCCAUAUCUGCCCUGAGCGAUGGUCUGCAGAAGGUACUUCCGCAAGUAGGAAUUCUUGCCUUCCCCAUUCUAGAUGGGAAGCCAGAUUCCAAGAGGUUGAGUUACUUGCCCAAGUCAGAGACAUCCUGUCAGACCCUGGAUCUCUGGCUGCAAGGCCUGUGCUCUCUACAGCAUCCCUUUGGCCCUGGGGAAACAGAGUGGUCCUGUAGCAGCCCCCUAGCAGUCCCGCCAUCUGAAUAAACAGGCAUGUGAACACUUACAACAGGGGGUUACCACUGUGGCUCAGCGGGUUAUGGACCCAUUGUCACCUCCGUGAGGAUGCAGGUCCAAUCCCUGAUCUUUCUCAGGGAGUUAAGGAUCCAGCACUGCUGCAAGCUUUGGUGUAAGUGGCCAAUAUGGCUUGGAUCUGGUGUUGCCGUAGCUGUGGCGUAGGCUUGCGGCUGCAGCUCUAAUUCAACCCCUAUCCCAGGAAGUUCCAUAUGCCACAGGUGCAGCCAUAAAAAGAAAAAAACAUUAAUUACAAUAGUAAGUGAGGAGCGUGUGAGCAGCUGGGGGCGAAGCUGUGUGGGAGCCAGGCAGAGGGGGUGACUCAGCCUUCACAAGGAGCCAGAGAGGCGUAUGCUGGAGCAGUGGCCAAGGAUGAGCAGAGAUUGGCAAGGGAGGGGGGCAGGAAGGGCAUUCUGGGCAAAGGGGCAGCAGGCACUUGGGGCAGGGCUGAAAGGAAGGAGGUGGCACUACUUCAAUGCAUUUUUUUUUUUUUUGGUUCCUUAAACCAUUCCUGGGGGCAGCCCUUAGGUAGACAUCACUGCCUCCAUUCUAUAGAUUAAGGAACCAGGGCUCUAGAAGGGUGGGUGACUUGCCUAGAGAAGAAGAGGUACCGUGGAGCCAAGACCUGGGCCCUGGUCAGUCCUACUCCAGGGUCCAGCUCCUGCCCUCGGUCUGGAGAGAGCCGAGGUAUGUCUAGACGAUGAGAAACACGCUAUGGGGCCAGCACACGUGCACACAGGAGGUUCAGGUGAAUUUAGGGAGAGAAGGGCACCUGAUUCAACUAGCAAAGGCCUUAUGAGCUGAGCGAAGGGGCUGGGACUAUGCUGAGGUGCUGUGGCUUCUUUCCAGGCUGUGUUGCUCCGCAGGGCGGGCAGUUGUAUGGAGGCCGGCGGGAGAGGGAGCCCGCGUGGAGGCAGGGAGGUCUGUCUGAAGGCAGGUCUGGAGGUCCAGGAACAACGAGCUGUGCCUGACCUGAGGCUGUGGAAGCAGCAGGAGAAUGUGGUACCGCUUGGAGGUUGGAAAUGACGGCACAGCAGGAGUGGAGGCUAACUGGAAAGUUAAGGCUGGAGACAGUGGGUGGGUGGUGUUGACCAUUAAGAAGCCAGGGGCUCAAGGAGGAACAGUCGGUUCCAAGAAGAAAUGGCAGGGAGGGGGGAGACAAGGCCAAUUAAGCUAGAAGGAAGCUUUAGGCCAUCAAGGCUUUCUUAGGCAAGGCAUCAGAGGAAGCCAAGGAAUUGAGUAUAUGACCGUGAAUUAAAUAUAACUUCAGGAGUUU
This 6196-nucleotide long non-coding RNA is filed under the name Sus scrofa (pig). Its description in RNAcentral is "lncRNA (ENSSSCG00060004878.1)". Lineage: Eukaryota; Metazoa; Chordata; Mammalia; Artiodactyla; Suidae. The record is from RNAcentral.